CUGUUAGUGAAGAUAGUCAGCAGACUACCUCCAAGCAGCAAAUGCAACCUCUGGUCCAUCAGGCUCAAUUUCAUCCCCUUCAGCAGAGUCACCACCAGCACCAUAUCAACCAAAGUCAACAUAUAGCUCAUUUCUCUCACAAUCAACAAUGUGGCCCUCAGUCUCACUUGCCCGAAGUUGUUCAUGCUCAGCAGUCGCUAACCAAUUCUCCACACAUGGCUUGCUUACAACAAUUAGGCCAUGUAGGAGGACGCAUGCAUAUAAUGCCUACAAGUCCUGCGAAGUUCUGCGAUGAAUGUGGUACUCCCUACUUGAGAGAAACCUCCAAG
RNAcentral lists this unclassified non-coding RNA (329 nucleotides) under Hevea brasiliensis (rubber tree). The record is from RNAcentral. Lineage: Eukaryota; Viridiplantae; Streptophyta; Magnoliopsida; Malpighiales; Euphorbiaceae.